UUUUCGGAGGGUGUUCUCUUUCUAUUUAGGUGAACCUUCUUAUCUUUGUUGUUUUAGGCUGGAGAGCAUCCGUCAAGCGAGACAACCACCAUCUGAUGCCAACUCAAAAAUAUUGCGCAACGUCAGAGCCAUUAUCUUUUGGGCACGGCGGCCAUCGAUCCUCCUCUCCCUAUCUUUGCUGGCGCCCCUCCACCACCACCGCCGCCCUCCAAUCUCUUUUGCCGGCAUCCCUCCGCCCAGACCCUCCCCUCUUCGCUCUCUUCUUUUCUGUUCCCUUCUUUCAGCGGCGCUUCUUCUCUUUAGGAGUUUGGAGAAAAUUCAUAUUUUAUAAUCUCAAAUUUAAUCGGCUAUACCCGCUGAUAUUUGACAGCACCGCAAGAAAACCUUUGCCAUAAACCCUCGCCGUUAUUUUUAAUCCAUUAAAACUUAGGCUUUAGAUCGCUGGCUGCGCUUAUUCUCUUCAUCACGAGAAAGAAAGAGCUCCAAAGAUGGUUCCCAGUCUCAAAAACCCUAAGAAGAGCAAGAGAAAGAACAAGAUGCCUCCUCUUCCGCUUCCCAUCCACUUCUUUUCUCUGCAUCCUUAUCCAUCGAUUCUUUUCCUUUUCGAACCAUUUAUUCUCAUGGUUUCUGUUGUUUUCUCCGUUGCAGAGCUUAAAGAAGGGUGAAAGAAAAUUGUUCUGUGCCAUCGGCACCUGCUAAGGUAGGGCAAUCUGGUGUUGAUAAGUUAGAAGAGGGAGAGGAGCUUCAAUUUGAUGCUUCAGUAUAUAAUUAUCUUCAUGCAUUUAAUGCCGGCUGGCCCUGUUUGAGUUUUGACAUAGUACAUGAUUCAUUGGGACCGGUCCGGAUAAAGUUUCGGCAUACGGCGUUGCCGGGACCCAGUUUCUUUCUCUCUCACUUCUAAGCCUUCGUAAUUACUCUAUUCUAUCAUAUACAAUAAUGAUGCUUGGAAGCACCUUUAAAGAAUACUCUAUAUAAACUCAAAUUGGGUUUCAAUCACAUACA
This is a long non-coding RNA of Elaeis guineensis (African oil palm), 1002 nucleotides long. RefSeq lists it as uncharacterized. The record is from RefSeq and is a predicted model, not a curated record. Lineage: Eukaryota; Viridiplantae; Streptophyta; Magnoliopsida; Arecales; Arecaceae.